This 1039-nucleotide ribosomal RNA is filed under the name Cophinopoda chinensis. Its description in RNAcentral is "SSU rRNA". It matches the Rfam family "Eukaryotic small subunit ribosomal RNA", at positions 44 to 982 of the family's 1831-position model. Lineage: Eukaryota; Metazoa; Arthropoda; Insecta; Diptera; Asilidae. The record is from RNAcentral.
UUAAGCCAUGCAUGUCUAAGUACAGACGAAUUAAAAGUGAAACCGCAAAAGGCUCAUUAUAUCAGUUAUGGUUUAUUAGAUCGUAACAGUUACUUGGAUAACUGUGGUAAUUCUAGAGCUAAUACAUGCAAUAUAAACGCGGACCUUAUCGGAACGUGUGCUUUUAUUAGGCUAUAAAACCAAGCGAUAAUACUUCGGUAGUAUCGUCUUAAUGGUUGAACUCUAGAUAAUUUGCAGAUCGUAUGGUCAAGUACCGACGACAGAUCUUUCAAAUGUCUGCCCUAUCAACUAUUGAUGGUAGUAUUUUGGACUACCAUGGUUGCAACGGGUAACGGGGAAUCAGGGUUCGAUUCCGGAGAGGGAGCCUGAGAAACGGCUACCACAUCUAAGGAAGGCAGCAGGCGCGUAAAUUACCCACUCCCAGAACGGGGAGGUAGUGACGAAAAAUAACAAUACAGGACUCAUAUCCGAGGCCCUGUAAUUGGAAUGAGUACACUUUAAAUCCUUUAACAAGGACCUAUUGGAGGGUAAGUCUGGUGCCAGCAGCCGCGGUAAUUCCAGCUCCAAUAGCGUAUAUUAAAGUUGUUGCGGUUAAAACGUUCGUAGUUGAACUUGUGCUCCAUACGGGUAGUACAACUAAUACAUUGGUUCGUACAUUACCUUAUGUUAUGCGAGCGUAUUACCGGUGGAGUGAAAUAUAUGAUUAUAUUAUACGAUUUUCAAUUGUUAUAAUAAUCAUAUGUGGACUCCUAUUAAAAAAACCUGCUUCAAUGCUCUUUACCGAGUGUUGUUGUGGGCCGGUACAAUUACUUUGAACAAAUUAAAGUGCUUAAAGCAGGCUCCUAACGCCUGAAUAUUCUGUGCAUGGGAAUAAUGGAAUAAGACCUCUGUUCUACUUUCAUUGGUUUUUAGAUCAAGAGGUAAUGAUUAAUAGAAGCAGUUGGGGGCAUUAGUAUUACGACGCGAGAGGUGAAAUUCUUGGACCGUCGUAGACUAACUUAAGCGAAAGCAUUUGCCAAAGAUGUUUCAUUAAUCAAGA